GAUGAAGAACGCAGCGAAAUGCGAUAAGUAAUGUGAAUUGCAGAAUUCAGUGAAUCAUCGAAUCUUUGAACGCACAUUGCGCCCCCUGGUAUUCCGGGGGGCAUGCCUGUUCGAGCGUCAUUACAACCCUCAAGCUCUGCUUGGUAUUGGGCCCCGCCAGUUCUGGCGGGCCCUAAAGUCAGUGGCGGUGCCUUCCGGCUCCGAGCGUAGUAAUUCUUCUCGCUCUGGAGACCCGGCUGUGUGCUUGCCAACAACCCCCAAUUUUUUAAGGUUGACCUCGGAUCAGGUAGGGAUACCCGCUGAACUUAAGCAUAUCAAUAAGCGGAGGA
RNAcentral lists this unclassified non-coding RNA (329 nucleotides) under soil metagenome. Its description in RNAcentral is "partial contains 5.8S ribosomal RNA, internal transcribed spacer 2, and large subunit ribosomal RNA". The stretch from base 1 to 120 matches the Rfam family "5.8S ribosomal RNA", at positions 35 to 154 of the family's 154-position model. The record is from RNAcentral.